Molecule: transfer RNA, 73 nt
Filed under: Ophisurus macrorhynchos
Lineage: Eukaryota; Metazoa; Chordata; Actinopteri; Anguilliformes; Ophichthidae
Description: tRNA-Thr
Rfam family: tRNA
About the family: Transfer RNA (tRNA) molecules are approximately 80 nucleotides in length. Their secondary structure includes four short double-helical elements and three loops (D, anti-codon, and T loops). Further hydrogen bonds mediate the characteristic L-shaped molecular structure. tRNAs have two regions of fundamental functional importance: the anti-codon, which is responsible for specific mRNA codon recognition, and the 3' end, to which the tRNAs corresponding amino acid is attached (by aminoacyl-tRNA synthetases). tRNAs cope with the degeneracy of the genetic code in two manners: having more than one tRNA (with a specific anti-codon) for a particular amino acid; and 'wobble' base-pairing, i.e. permitting non-standard base-pairing at the 3rd anti-codon position.
Source: RNAcentral
GCCCCAGUAGUUUAAUGUUAAAACACCGGUUUUGUAAUCCGGAAAGUGAAGAUUAAUAGUUCUUCCUGGUGCA